RNAcentral lists this ribosomal RNA (455 nucleotides) under uncultured bacterium. Its description in RNAcentral is "bacterial SSU rRNA". It matches the Rfam family "Bacterial small subunit ribosomal RNA", at positions 28 to 507 of the family's 1533-position model. The record is from RNAcentral.
GACGAACGCUGGCGGCGUGCCUAACACAUGCAAGUCGAACGAAGCAUAGCAAUAUGCUUAGUGGCGGACGGGUGAGUAACGCGUGAACAAUCUGCCCUGUACAAAGGAAUAGCCUCGGGAAACCGGGAUUAAAACCGUAUGACACCUUAGUAUCGCAUGAUAAGAAAGUCAAAUCGAUUAGAGGUAUGGGAUGAGUUCGCGUCUGAUUAGCUGGUUGGCGGGGUAACGGCCCACCAAGGCGACGAUCAGUAGCCGGCCUGAGAGGGUGAACGGCCACACUGGAACUGAGACACGGUCCAGACUCCUACGGGAGGCAGCAGUGGGGAAUAUUGCACAAUGGAGGGAACUCUGAUGCAGCGACGCCGCGUGAGUGAAGAAGGUCUUCGGAUCGUAAAACUCUGUCCUUGGUGAAGAAAAGGACGGUAGCCAAGGAGGAAGCCCCGGCUAACUACGUG